RNAcentral lists this long non-coding RNA (2197 nucleotides) under Triticum aestivum (bread wheat). RNAcentral's name for it is "long non-coding RNA (TAES_LNC002244)". The record is from RNAcentral. Lineage: Eukaryota; Viridiplantae; Streptophyta; Magnoliopsida; Poales; Poaceae.
UAUGUCUUUCGCAAGUGCCCCAAUGUUCUUCUAUUGCUAGAAACGCGUACUGGCAGCUCGGAUCAUAUUCCAUCUCUCCAAACAAGGGAACGUACUGCAGGGUAAGCAAGACUUAUAUUACUACUUGAGGAUGCACGUGAUACAAAAAAAGAAAAACAUGGUGUUGCAGCCUCUGGUAUAGAAUGCAAUCGCUGUACAGACCGGUCGGGCUAAUGUAUCCGAUAGACGGCAAUUAAUAUAAUCCAAACCCAGCCUGUGCAAACUUCAAGAAAGAAUAUAAAACUUGUGUGCAUACCCAAUGAUGGUGUUACUACUGAUGUUCAUAGCCACUGGUGGUGAUAAAACAUGUAUAAUGAGAGCUGUCAUAGAACCGCAGCAGGAAGUAACUAUUCCUACUCCUGCAGAUUAGACGAGGAAAAACAAAUUAGAUGAGUAUUUCACAUGUCAGGAAGUUGUCACUACUCACAAGACAUCAUAUCAUGCAUCAAAAUAAAUAUCAAAGAACAACAGCGAGAAGAAUGAGUGUUCAUUGGGUGUGCCAAAGUGCCUGCACCAAGGGAUUACAUGGGAUUUACUGGUCAGUUGGGACAAUGUUUUAACUUUGUCACGAUAAACCUCUCUUGCUUUUAAUAUAUGGGACAAGUUAAGACAAGUGAAUAAUUAUACUGCGAGCUUACAAUUAUAAGGCAUGAGCAAGUAUUAGUUCUGAACUUCUGAUACAAGGCAAACAGGGAAACAUCCAUGACUCUAUUUUUUUCUAAUCAUUUAUAUAUCCUAUUACAUGAUUAAAUGUGAAAAGUAUUUUUGUUAUCAAUCUACAGCUAUAAAAGAUGCAAAAUUUGAACCAAAUUAUGAUCUCAUAUCUGCAAUAAGAAAAAUGGGUCGCAAUUUUUCGUUUACUUCAACAUGACAUAUCCUUUCAAACUUGAGUUCAAGCAGUCACCGGCAAGAUCCUGAUAACAAAUCUCGUACAAACUCUCUAACUCUUGAUAUAGAUCCUGGUCAAACAAUGGUCAUCGAGUAAGACAAGAACGAGCUGCAAAUUACAAUAUACAACAUUCAGAUAUGGGUUUUUUUUAAGAAGGAAAAAAAUUUAGCAGAGGAGGAAAGGGAGAUGUGCAACUGACCUUGUGCGUGCGAUGUAACUCCCCCGUAUACGCUCGUGGAACCAACGGCCCACUGCAUGCAUCCAAUAAGUUUAACCGAUGGGAAACAUUUUAUGAGGAAACAAAGGCUUCUCAUAUCAGCAUCUCAGCAAAUGUUCAUCCAGUGCUCCAAAAAAAUGUCAAUGGCAGAUCUAUAUUGCAUUUUGGGGUGAACAAAAAUCCAAAAUAGAGUAAGAAUAUACGUCUAUGUUACUACUGAUAGAAAAUUUAUAAAUUUGACAAAAAAUGGAACUACAAUAAAAUAACAGGUGCAUAGUGCGUUUAAAUUCUUACCAGAAAAUAUAUAAUCAAAGAAGAUGAAACCAGAGACUCUAUACAAAUUAUUGAUGGUACAGAACCAUCAACCAUAAAACAUUUGCAUGUCACAGCUCCCAGUUCAAUCAAAUUCAUGUUAGAACUGUAAGCAUGUUUUUGUUACAACCUGUCAACAUAUCAAGCAACUCGUUCCUUUUCUUCGGUUUUUAAUAAGCACAAAUCAUGAACUCUACACCUCACCUUUUGUGAAGAGAAGGAUCCACAGAGCUCUAGAGCUCUAUACAUUCUUGUUGCGACGUAAUAUUAGUCUGUACUAACAUAAUCAAAAAUCUCAGCCACAGUGUUAUGUCAUCAGCGGCAACGGCUUUUCUUUGCAGGCUUGUGCUCAUUGCAAAUCCAUAAUAUAGCAGGCAAUUGAAACAAUCCAUGAUUAGCUUCUAAAUCCAUAAUUUCGAUGGGAAAAACCGGGAACAAAAAGCUACAAAAUUUAUCAAUCUUUGCCUUUCGCCAAACAGAGGUACUGCAGGGCAUAUAUAGAUUAGUGCAAUAAACUUGUACUCUCUCUGUAUUAGUUUGUUUCUUGCAUCAGUGCGUCAAUAAGAGUCAUUAUACAUGGCACAAUGGCAAACAUAGCAUCAUUUAAAGCAUGGCUCGCAAAAUUCAGGGAUAUGCAUAGGAAAAAGGAAUAAGUAAAAAAUCAAACCUGCAUUAGCGCAUCGUUCUGACUGCAGAGCACGAUACCAAGUAGAUGAGCACCCUUGAGGCCAGGACAGGGC